This 2698-nucleotide long non-coding RNA is filed under the name Mytilus galloprovincialis (Mediterranean mussel). The record is from RNAcentral. Lineage: Eukaryota; Metazoa; Mollusca; Bivalvia; Mytilida; Mytilidae.
AUUCAUUAUACAUUGAUGGCAAAAAUAAAGUAUAAUGCACCUACAUAAGUACAAGUUAGUAAUUUAUUUAUUACUUUCAUGUGCUAUAUAUUUGCAGUUCCACAUACUAGUUGAAAAUGAACCAAAUCUUUUUCUUCAGAAUUUUAAAGCAAAAUUUCAGUGAAAUUAUCAAGCCAUAAAAAGCACUGAUCACACAUUGCCCUUUAAUCUAAAGAAUGCUUUGAUUAAUUGACUGUUUUCCAUUUAAGACUUUACCUUUUUCUCUUACCCUUAUUUUUUUCAAGAAAUUUGGAUUUUUCAUGUUUCCUCAUUUCCAAAAUGGCACUCAGAUAUCAUACAAGUUAUUCAAUAGUGACAACUAUUUCAAAUAGGUCUAAAACAAAAUAAGAUAAAAAUGGCCAUAUGGAUAUGAUAACUCAAACAUUGUCAAUUCAAAGUACCCCGUAAACAAUAUAAAUUUCAUCUAUAAACAAAUAAAAUAAUUCCCUAAUACAUAUACAUUCCAGUAUGACAUUAUAAAUAAAACACCCAAUUCAUAGCUUGGAAAGAAAUAUUUCAUUUCAUCUGGAAUGAUCAACAAGGUGAAAAAGAAUCAACAAACACUAAGAGUUAAAUACAAUAAUAAAGCACUCAAAAUGAUAGAUAGCACUCAAAAUCAUUACAGUUAAAAUAUGAAAACUGGUCAAAUAAACAAAUAUUCCCCUUUUUCAAUCAUUCAAAAAAAAAAUGUUUUACUUUGAAAUGAAUUAAGAAAUUGAGACUCUGAUUUUUUUCAUAUUCACAACUGAGUUGCUAGAAAUCUUUUUAGACAAAGGUAAAAUGAUAAAUACUCUUAGGAGGAGGUCAAAGAAAUCUACUAACUGUCGAUUUUUGGCACGGAAAUCAAAUGGGAAAUUUGAAAAAAAAAAAGAAAAAAAGAAAAGAAAAUGAUACUGACCUGUAUAAAAAUCUAUAUUAAUGAUUUGAUUGAUGACAUCGGUCAAAUAAAUGACUCAACAAUACAGCAAUGGUGAGCUACAACUAACUGAUAAACACAAAGAUAUGUCUUGAAUGUCUAAACUAAUCACAAACCUAAACAUGGAAAUGAAAUGUUUCAAAACUUGUACAUCUGUAUACCAUUGACUUACUACAAAAGAUUACCCUUAAACUGACUUCAUUAACUUUAAACUUGAUAGUCUGCUCAGUCAAGAAAAAACUUAUAUUUUGCUUUUAAGACUCUGUUGCAGGUGAGACUAAAUUUUCACACUAAUAUCGGAAUACAAAAUUGUAAAACAAUCAAAUAUAUUCCAAUUACAAAUAGGACAAUCCAUAAACUUAAUUAACAUUAUAAUACAAAGGAUAACAAAUAACUAAUAAACUGUUAUCACAGAAAUAUGUCUCGCCUUUUUGUAAUUUUGAUUAUGCAAAUGUUGAAAUCAAAAUAGCAAUACUUUAACAUCUUACACACAUUAUGAAAAUAUUCAAAGUCAAUGAACCAUGUCUGAGUUACAUGGCUAAACAAUCUCUAUGUAAAUGAGAUGUGCCAAUGCUUAUACAACUGCAUACCAAAUACCAUCAUGACUAAUAUCAAAAGUUGUUCUCAAAUCUUAAUACAAACAUUAACUAGUAAACUAUAGAAAAGUUUCAAAGCCAAUAAGAGGGGGUGGGGCUAUAUGAUCUCCAUGGAAACGAUACUUGCAAAUGCCAAUAAAUAUGCAUACCAAAUAUCAUUGACUUAAAAUUAGCAGUUCAUCUUAAACUGAUCUAAUCACAAACUAACACAUGUAAACUAAGAUAAGUUUCAAAGUCAUUAGACUGUGACUGAGGGGUGAGGACAAAUAUUAUCCAUGGAAAUGAGAUUUGCCAAUGCUUAUACAACUGAAUACCAAUUAAUACAAUUAUCACAUGGCCGACCACUAAUAGUUCCCCUUGAAUUGACCUAAUCACAAACUAAUACAUGAUAACUCAGAAAAAUUUUCAAAGUCAAUAGACCAUGACUAAGGGGGCGGAGCCAAAUUAUCUCCAUAGAAAUGAGAUAUGUCGAUGCUUACACAACUUCAUACCAAAUAUCAUUGAUCUACCACUUUGGGUUCCCCAUAAACUGACCUAAUCACAAACUAAUACAUGUAAAAUAAGCAAACGUUUCAAAGUCAAUAGACCAUGACUACGGUGCGUAGCUAAAUUAUCGCCAUGGAAAUGGGGUAUGCAGAUGCUUACACAACUGCAUACCAAAUAUGAUUGACCUAUCACUUGUUGUUUCCAAUAAACCGACCUAAUCACAAACUAAUACAUGUAAACAUGGUAAAAUAAGCAAACGUUUCGAAGUCAAUAGACCAUGACUGAGGGGGCAGGGCCAUAUAAUCUCCAUGGAAAGGAGAUGUGCCAAUGCUUAUACAACUGCAUACCAAAUAUGAUUGACCUACCACUUGUGGUUCAUCAUAAACUAGACCUAAUCACAAACUAAUACAUUGUUGAAGCCGCCGUUGCCGCCUCCGCUGGAAACAGCAUACCUAUGUCUCGCUUUUUGACUCUGUCAAGGCGAGACAAAAUUAGUGUAUACAAGGAAACUAUUUUGUUAUACUUUGUCAAACGAGAUAAGUUUUUAAAUGGAAAAUAUUCAGAAUCUCAGUUUGCUUAAAGUAUAUGCACUGAUAACAAUUAAUAUUUCUACAUUGACUUAAUUGUAAAUAAUUGUAAAAAAAACCUUCUACAAUAAAAU